RNAcentral lists this small RNA (166 nucleotides) under Belnapia rosea. RNAcentral describes it as "Belnapia sp. CPCC 100156 caulobacter sRNA CC2171". It matches the Rfam family "caulobacter sRNA CC2171". The record is from Rfam by way of RNAcentral. Lineage: Bacteria; Pseudomonadati; Pseudomonadota; Alphaproteobacteria; Acetobacterales; Roseomonadaceae.
CAACAACCGAAAGGAGGUGAUCCAGUGUCUCAUUGCCAUAUGCCGCGUGCCCUGCCUGCGGCCUGGAUCAUCGUCACCGCCACUGCGGAGAUGGCUUCCUGAGCCCUGCCUAGGCCGGCAACGGCUGCAGCAAUGGAAAGGCCCGGGUGGGAUACCACCCGGGCCU